GCAGUCUAUCUGUUUCUGCGUGCAUGUGCACGUAUGCUGAUAGCAGUCCCUACUAGCUGCUACAUUUGUCCACAGCGACAAACAAGAUGAUAAUAUUCUUCAAACUACUUCAGAUGGAAUCCAAUCAUUCCGUUUGGUUGCUGAAACUUAAUUGAAAAGCUGAAAAUCAUAAUUCCUUUCCAGUUCUCCACAUUUUAAAUAAUCCGUCCAACAAGCACAUGAAAAGGAGGAGAAGAAUCAAGGUGGAGAAGAAAGAGAAGGAACUUGCAUGAGACAAAAAGAGUAUAAAUGGGUUGGACUGUUUGAUUGGAUUAGAGCAAGCAAAGGGAUUUUUGAG
Molecule: unclassified non-coding RNA, 337 nt
Filed under: Hevea brasiliensis (rubber tree)
Lineage: Eukaryota; Viridiplantae; Streptophyta; Magnoliopsida; Malpighiales; Euphorbiaceae
Source: RNAcentral